Octodon degus (degu) is the source of this 1012-nucleotide long non-coding RNA. RefSeq lists it as uncharacterized. Lineage: Eukaryota; Metazoa; Chordata; Mammalia; Rodentia; Octodontidae. The record is from RefSeq and is a predicted model, not a curated record. The transcript has 3 exons.
CCUGCUGACUACAAGUCCCAGCGUGCACCGAGGGGAGGCACUUCUGGGCGCACUGCAUUCUGGUUCUCGUAGUACAACGUACUUCAUUGACCGUUCUGGCUUAGCGUGCGUCCCGCGUCCAAUCAGCGGAGGCCCACAAACCAGGAAUUUAGUGGGAUCCAACCCUGUACUACGCCUGCCGAGGAAGUACGGUCCUCCAAGAGCCGGGCGAGAGAGGAACAAUUAAAACCGGAUAAUGAACAACAUUCUAAACUUAUGCCAAUUCUUGGCUACAGCACUCAUGAGAACCAAACCUAGACAACGUGGCACCACGCCAGCCCCUCCUGGAGCAUGCUUCAAGUGUGGCAAAGAAGAACACUGGGUAUGAGCCUGCUCCAGCCCAUGGCCACCACCAGGAUCUUGUCCCACCUGUAAACUCCAGGGUCACUGGAAGUGCGACUGCCUGUCCACCAGAGAGCAGCAGAUAGUUCGAUCACUGCACCUGAAUUUGGCUUGGCUCGGUUCAUCCUCUGUUAGGGGAGAUGUCUGUGGAAAGUCCACGACAUUUCCUAAGUCUCUUAAUGCUGAGCAUCAACUCCAAACUGCAUCCUUCGCAGAUUUCAUCAAGACCUGGUUUUGACUUUGUUAGGACGCAUGGUGUCCAGUUCCAGAUGGCCCUCAAGGUCCCAGCCUCUGCAGUUUCGUACACAUAAUGGGCAGGCCUGUGAGGUGUGAGCAGGAGUGUGUAGACCUGACAGUGGGUGAUUUGAAAGGCAAGAUCUCUCAAGAAUUUACAGCUUCAGCCUUGCUUCCUUUUGGGUUUCUUCCCUGAGAGUUUCUGGCUACCUUGUCAUGAGUACUCUAAAGCCCUUGUGAAAGACCCACGUCGGGAGGAAGCGAGGCUGCCCGCCAAUGGGCAGGACCAGCUGAGGCACACACCCUGGCUUCAUGUGCUUGGCUGCAGGCCCGGGAGGCAUCUUGCCUGCAGCUUCCCAGGAGACCUUGUGCUAAUGCCAGACAUCUCCAGCUUGAC